RNAcentral lists this transfer RNA (89 nucleotides) under Bacteriovoracaceae bacterium. RNAcentral describes it as "tRNA-Leu". It matches the Rfam family "tRNA". Rfam says of the family: Transfer RNA (tRNA) molecules are approximately 80 nucleotides in length. Their secondary structure includes four short double-helical elements and three loops (D, anti-codon, and T loops). Lineage: Bacteria; Pseudomonadati; Bdellovibrionota; Bacteriovoracia; Bacteriovoracales; Bacteriovoracaceae. The record is from RNAcentral.
GCUUGGGUGGUGGAAUGGUAGACACAAGGGACUUAAAAUCCCUCGGGCCGAAUAGUCCCGUGCGAGUUCGAGUCUCGCUCCGAGCACCA